AGUCAUAUGCUUGUCUCAAAGCUUAAGCCAUGCAAGUGUAAGUUCAUGCCACGCUUUAGAACGGGCGAAACCGCGAAUGGCUCAGGAACCGGACCUAAUCCUCGGGACCGUAAUCCUGGCGAUGGAUGACUGUGGCAAUUCUAGAGCUAAUACAUGUGACACGGGCCGCGAUUGGUCGUCGCGCCGUGGUCGCCUCGCCUCGCGCGCUGGCGGCCGUCUUGGGUCGCGGCGCUACAUAUUAGACUGAGAUCGAUGCGCAAUUCCCGCUCUCCCUUCGUUGUCUCCGGUUUCGGCCGGUCUGUGCGUCGGGGCCAAAGGGUGGCGCGUUCCGCUUUGGUGACUCUGGAUAACUCACUGGUCGAUCGCACGGUUACCACGCCCGGCGACGGGUCCCUCGAGGGUCCGCCCUAUCAACUGUCGACGGUCGGUUAAGUGCCUACCGUGGUUACUACGGGUAACGGGGAAUCGGGGUUCGAUUCCCGAGAAGGAGCAUGCGAAACGGCUACCACAUCCAAGGAAGGCAGCAGGCGCGCAAAUUACCCACUCCCGGCACGGAGAGGUAGUGACAAAUUACCCACUCCCGGCACGGAGAGGUAGUGACAAAAAAUAACGACGCCGGACUCUGUCGAGGCCCCGCGGUCGGAAUGAGUACACUUCAAAUCCAUUAACGAGGAACAACCGGAGGGCAAGUCUGGUGCCAGCAGCCGCGGUAAUCUCAGCUUCCGGUAGCGUAUAUUAAAGUUGUUGGGGUUAAAAAGCUCGUAGUCCGAACUCGGGUUCGUGGUCGAUCGCGCGGCCCCGGGGCGGCGGCGCCAUCGUCCAUCGUUGACUUUGGUCGUCCGUUCGCAUUCCCGGCCCUUUCCGCCGGUGUCGAUUGCUGCAUGACGGUCUCGUGUAGCAGCCUGGCGUGGGGAGCGUGGCGUUGGGCGUUUCUGGCGUCCUUCGUCCGGGUUUUCGGGUUCCUUCUCUGACUAGCCAUGCGCGCGUGUGCCGUCGGCGAUCUCUCCUCCAAGGGUGCUCUUAACCGAGUGUCCGCGGCGGCCGGUAAGUUCACUUUGAAAAAAUUAGAGUGCUCAGAGCGGGCUGUUCAAGCUUGCAUACGAUAAGCAUGGAAUGAUGGAAGAGGGACUCGUCUACGUCUGUCGGUCUCCGUCUACGGCGAGGCAAUGAUCGAAGGGAGCGGUCGGGACCACUCGUAUUGCGACGUUAGAGGUGAAAUUAUUGGAUCGUCGCAAGACGAACUGCAGCGAUGGCGUGUGGCAAGCACGUUUUCCUCGAUCAAGAGCGAAAGUCGGAGGUUCGAAGACGAUCAGAUACCGUCGUAGUUCCGACCGUAAACGAUGCCGACCGGCGAUCCGCCGGCGUUCGCUUCCAUGACCCGGCGUGUAGCCUGCGGGAAAACAGAGUUCGGUUCCAGGGGGAGUAUGGUUGCAAAGCUGAAACUUAAAGGAAUUGACGGGAGGGCACCACCAGGAGUGGAGCCUGCGGCUUAAUUUGACUCAACACGGGAAAACUCACCCGGUCCGGCUGUCCUUAACCGGCGGUCGCGCCUUCUGGUCCGGGUCGGUUUCUCACGCACUUCUUAGAGGGACGGGUGGCAGAAAGCCACACGAGGCGGAGCGAUAACAGUGAUGCCCUUAGAUGUCCGGGGCUACUACCGAUCGAACGGUCCGGUGAGGUCCUCGGAUCUGGUCGACGACGCUGUCGGGUUAAUCGGCUCAUCGCGGGUCGGUUGCCUCGGCGUUUGAUGCCUGGAGAAGACGACCGAACCCGAUCGNNUAGAUCGUUU
This 1789-nucleotide ribosomal RNA is filed under the name Illex coindetii. RNAcentral describes it as "bacterial SSU rRNA". It matches the Rfam family "Eukaryotic small subunit ribosomal RNA", at positions 21 to 1582 of the family's 1831-position model. The record is from RNAcentral. Lineage: Eukaryota; Metazoa; Mollusca; Cephalopoda; Oegopsida; Ommastrephidae.